Molecule: ribosomal RNA, 675 nt
Filed under: uncultured bacterium
Lineage: Bacteria
Description: bacterial SSU rRNA
Rfam family: Bacterial small subunit ribosomal RNA
Source: RNAcentral
GCGGCGUGCCUAACACAUGCAAGUCGAACGAGCAGCCGGAUUCUUCGGAAAUCGGUGGGCUAGUGGCGCACGGGUGAGUAACACGUUGGUGACCUGCCCCGAAGCGGGGGACAACCACUGGAAACGGUGGCUAAUACCGCAUGUGCUUAAUCAUUCGUUUGGUUAAGUAAAACUCAGGUGCUUCGGGAGGGGCCUGCGGUCGAUUAGUUAGUUGGUGAGGUAAUGGCUCACCAAGACGAUGAUCGAUAGGGGGCGUGAGAGCGUGACCCCCCACACUGGAACUGAGACACGGUCCAGACUCCUACGGGAGGCAGCAGUGAGGAAUAUUGCACAAUGGGCGCAAGCCUGAUGCAGCAACGCCGCGUGGGGGAUGAAGGCCUUCGGGUCGUAAACCCCUUUUCCAUGGGAAGAGAAAGGACGGUACCAUGGGAAUAAGUCUCGGCUAACUACGUGCCAGCAGCCGCGGUAAAACGUAGGAGGCGAACGUUAUCCGGAAUUACUGGGCGUAAAGCGCGCGCAGGCGGCUUUGUAAGUCCGACGUGAAAGCUCCCGGCUUAACUGGGAGAGGCCGUUGGAUACUGCGGAGCUUGAGGUUAGGAGAGGAAAGCGGAAUUCCCGGUGUAGUGGUGGAAUGCGUAGAUAUCGGGAGGAACUCCAGAGGCGAAGGCGGCUUUC